ACCUUAGAGACUAACUAAGUUUGCUCUGGGUAUAAGCUUUCAUGUGCAUGCAAACUUCUUCAGAUACCAAAGCUUAUACCCAGAACAAACUUUGUUGGUCUCUAAGGU
Molecule: microRNA precursor, 108 nt
Filed under: Podarcis lilfordi (Lilford's wall lizard)
Lineage: Eukaryota; Metazoa; Chordata; Lepidosauria; Squamata; Lacertidae
Source: RNAcentral